RNAcentral lists this ribosomal RNA (253 nucleotides) under uncultured bacterium. Its description in RNAcentral is "partial 16S ribosomal RNA". It matches the Rfam family "Bacterial small subunit ribosomal RNA", at positions 524 to 776 of the family's 1533-position model. The record is from RNAcentral.
UACGUAGGGACCAAGCGUUGUUCGGAUUUACUGGGCGUAAAGGGCGCGUAGGCGGCUUGGUAAGUCACUUGUGAAAUCUCUGAGCUUAACUCAGAACGGUCAAGUGAUACUGCUGUGCUAGAGUGCAGAAGGGGCAAUCGGAAUUCUUGGUGUAGCGGUGAAAUGCGUAGAUAUCAAGAGGAACACCUGAGGUGAAGGCGGGUUGCUGGGCUGACACUGACGCUGAGGCGCGAAAGCCAGGGGAGCUAACGGG